Oryza glaberrima (African rice) is the source of this 205-nucleotide non-coding RNA. The record is from Rfam. NCBI's taxonomy places the organism in Eukaryota, Viridiplantae, Streptophyta, Magnoliopsida, Poales, Poaceae.
AAUAAACGCAGUCGUAGGUUUCAGUGCCCAACUUUGACCAUCCGUCUUAUUUGAAAUAUUUUUAUGAUUGGUAUUUUUACUGUUAUUAAAUGAUAAAAUAUGAAUAGUAUUUUAUGCGUGACUAAACUUUUAAAAUUUUUUCAUAAAUUUUUUAAAUAAGAUGGACAGUCAAACGUUGGUACGGAAACUUAUGGCUGCACUUAUA